AAGCAGGGGAUCGUAAGACCUUGCGCUUUUGGAGCGGCCGAUGUCUGAUUAGCUAGUUGGUGGGGUAAUGGCCUACCAAGGCUUCGAUCAGUAGCUGGUCUGAGAGGACGGCCAGCCACACUGGGACUGAGACACGGCCCAGACUCCUACGGGAGGCAGCAGUGGGGAAUUUUGGACAAUGGGCGCAAGCCUGAUCCAGCCAUGCCGCGUGAGUGAAGAAGGCCUUCGGGUUGUAAAGCUCUUUCAGCCGGGAAGAAAAGGUUGCGAUUAAUAAUCGCAAUUCAUGACGGUACCGAAAGAAGAAGCACCGGCUAACUACGUGCCAGCAGCCGCGGUAAUACGUAGGGUGCGAGCGUUAAUCGGAAUUACUGGGCGUAAAGGGUGCGCAGGCGGCUUUGUAAGUCAGAUGUGAAAUCCCCGGGCUUAACCUGGGAAUUGCGUUUGAAACUACAAAGCUAGAGU
Molecule: ribosomal RNA, 462 nt
Filed under: uncultured ammonia-oxidizing beta proteobacterium
Lineage: Bacteria; Pseudomonadati; Pseudomonadota; Betaproteobacteria
Description: bacterial SSU rRNA
Rfam family: Bacterial small subunit ribosomal RNA
Source: RNAcentral